UACGUAGGGGGCGAGCGUUGUCCGGAUUUAUUGGGCGUAAAGAGCUCGUAGGCGGUUUGGUAAGUCGGGUGUGAAAACCCCAGGCUCAACCUGGGGACGCCACCUGAUACUGCUAUGACUUGAGUCUGGUAGGGGAUCACGGAAUUCCUGGUGUAGCGGUGAAAUGCGCAGAUAUCAGGAGGAACACCGGUGGCGAAGGCGGUGAUCUGGGCCAGUACUGACGCUGAGGAGCGAAAGCGUGGGUAGCAAACAGG
RNAcentral lists this ribosomal RNA (254 nucleotides) under uncultured bacterium. RNAcentral's name for it is "partial 16S ribosomal RNA". It matches the Rfam family "Bacterial small subunit ribosomal RNA", at positions 524 to 776 of the family's 1533-position model. The record is from RNAcentral.